This is a non-coding RNA of Leptonychotes weddellii (Weddell seal), 502 nucleotides long. Lineage: Eukaryota; Metazoa; Chordata; Mammalia; Carnivora; Phocidae. The record is from RefSeq and is a predicted model, not a curated record.
UCCGUGACCCGGCGGAAGUGAUUCCUCUAACUGCCCCGGAACCCACCGCGGCAGGCAGCUGGGGGUGGGGGGGCGGCCCUGGAGUAGGGGCUGUGGCGGUGCGCGGGGACCCGGUGCGGUGGCUGCUGUGGCUGCAGGGCUGACGACUGCAGGACCCCGAGAAGUUUACCUUCUGGGCAACUUGUCGGACAAUCUCUGCCCGACUUGAUAGUUUGGGACUGUCGUGCAUCUGCCUUCCAGUUUUGUCUGAAAGUAGACUAAGAUGAUAAAUCUCUGAUCUCGCUUACAUUAUAUUUGUAAUUCAUGAUGUUGAAACAUCACAGUUCACACACAUGGAUUCGUUCAUUCUAGAGAUACUAUGAUUUUUCAGUACUAUAAAAUAAUCUGGAAACUCUUUGCAUUUAUACUGGUAAGUGUACAUGCAUUUUAGCUAACUUGUUAUAAAUGUUUACUGUUCCAUUAUUAAAUAAGAUCAGGAAAAGCCCAUCGAGUGAUGCCUGAA